AGCUGCCGCCGCGCUUCCGCGAUGCGCGGCCCUUCCGCCGGCUGCGGGGCCCCGAGAACGCGGCGUCGGCGCCCCUCCCCUCCGCGGGGGGCUGGCCGGAAGAACGCGGGCGGCCGGCCCGGAGACCACGGGCGCCGGCUGCUUUCCCAGUUGAGCCGCUUCCCGCCUGGGGACCUGGGUGGCGCCGGGCGGAGACCCCUCUGCACCCCAGCGCCCCGCACUCCGCGGAGUUGAAUGCGCGUAACAAUCCGAGUGGCCGCCGGGCUUUGGCUCGCCUUCCUCCCGCGGGGACCCGCGGGCCGGCUGCUGCCCGGAGGCCAGCGCCCGUACGAGUUCGGGGAAAAUGCGGCUGGAGUGGGGGAAGGUGCGGGCGGGGGCUCCGGCCCUCCUUCCUCUGCUGGCCUCUGCCUUGGGCAGUCCGGCCCUGCCCGAGGCGGGGGAACCGGGAGGUAGGGCCGCACACUUGGAGGAACGUUGCCUGGGGGUUUUGUUCGCGCACCCGCCCCUUCCCCUCUCCCGGUAAAUGUUUAACACCACCGCUCAUCCCCAAGUCCAGUUCUCUAACUCUUCCUUCCUCCGGUCCUUUAGUUGAAAAAGGCUAAAUUGUUCCGUCUGGCAGAUUAGAGUGGUACAUGGGGGGAAAGAGAAAGGGAUAAAGAAGUAGGAAGAAAAUUGCCAAAACCGAGUUGAUGAAGUCCCGAGAAGCACGAGGUACUUCUCUCCGUUCCAGAUAAAUUUGCACGACACAAGAAGCGUGAUUUGAAACUAACGAUAUAUGUUAUUUAAUUGGGUUCGGUGAGCUCCUCUUAAAGGUCUCGAGUGGGGAGCACUGAGGUUGGACAGCUGUUAACCAGCAGCUGCGCUCCAGGCCAGAAGUGGCUGCACUUCAGUAGGAUGGGAGUCACCGCGUUGACCCUAGUGGGUGUUAAAUGCUUUGGAAUUCUACCAGAUACAGUUAAAAGUCCCCUUUUCGAUGUAUUAUAGUACUUUUCCUGGAAGCUAUCCUCUGUCAUUAAGUGGUAAUAAGCUACUGAAAUAGGCACUUGUCAGUUUUGCCCUUUCAAGUUAGCAGGAAUUACAUCCUCUGGACCAGAGAUGGCACAGGAGCAGUUGAGUAGAAUCAUCAUUGAAAGAUGGGCUGUACAUCUCUGAUCUGGGGAAAAUAAUAAUAAUUUUUUUUAAAAAAAAAGAUCGGCUGAACAUGGAAGAGGUUUACCCGUCAAACAAAAUUAUUUACUUCUACUUUUUGUUCAGUGACAAUACGAUUAAUCGUACUAAUAACAAAUAUGCAAAUGUUUCAUAUAAAAGUACAUAUUCU
RNAcentral lists this long non-coding RNA (1318 nucleotides) under Homo sapiens (human). RNAcentral describes it as "non-protein coding lnc-EXD2-10:1". The record is from RNAcentral. Lineage: Eukaryota; Metazoa; Chordata; Mammalia; Primates; Hominidae.